Molecule: unclassified non-coding RNA, 268 nt
Filed under: Hevea brasiliensis (rubber tree)
Lineage: Eukaryota; Viridiplantae; Streptophyta; Magnoliopsida; Malpighiales; Euphorbiaceae
Source: RNAcentral
GUUGUAUAUUAGGCCAAGUGACAAAAAGAAAGGUUAUGGGUUUGGUAGUGGCAAGGAUGAUUCUAGCUGGGUCGAGUUGUUGAGGUCACAUAAGCUUGUUCAAGUCUCAUUGUUUCAAAAGCCCAUUGUUAAGAUCAAAGUGGGCAGAUAUAUUGCUAGCCACUAAUAAUUUUGAUUUGGAAAAUAUUGUGAUUUCAACUAGAACUGGGGUUUCGUACAAGGCUGUUUUACCUGAUGGGUCUGCUCUUGCUAUUAAAAGGCAUAUGCU